UGUAAAAUUUUAAAGGUCGAACAGACCUAAUAUUUUAGCUUCUACACCAAAAAUUUAUUUUAAUCCAACAUCGAGGUCGCAAUCUUUUCUUUUAAUAUGAACUCUCUAAAAAAAUUACGCUGUUAUCCCUAAGGUAAUUUUAUCUUAUAAUCAAAAAUAAUGGAUCAUUUAAUCAUAAAUAAAUGUUAAAAAAUAAAAAAAGUUUAAUAAAUUUUUCAAUCACCCCAAUUAAAUUAUUUAAUAAAUUAAAUAUAUAAAUACUAAAAUAUAAUUUUUAUUAAAUAAUAAAACUCUAUAGGGUCUUCUCGUCUUUUAAUAUUAAUUAAGCUUUUUAACUUAAAAAUAAAAUUCUAAUUAAAUUUAAUAGAGACAGUUAUUUUCUUAUUCAACCUUUCAUUCCAGUUCUUAAUUAAAAAACUAAUGAUUAUGCUACCUUAGCACGGUCAAAAUACCACGGCCAUUUAAAAAUUCAGUGGGCAGGUUAGACUUUAAAUUAUUUACAAAAAGAC
RNAcentral lists this ribosomal RNA (509 nucleotides) under Chrysolina quadrigemina. RNAcentral's name for it is "16S ribosomal RNA". Lineage: Eukaryota; Metazoa; Arthropoda; Insecta; Coleoptera; Chrysomelidae. The record is from RNAcentral.